AUGAGCCAGGAAUAAAGCUGUCGAUCUUUCACUGAAUCCAGAAUGCACCGUUUGAGAUGAGCUUAGCCCUCCCUUAUGUGACUACUCGGAUAAUAUAUCUGCAGCUUACGAGAGAUGAUGCAGAGACAGGGACCCAGCUCCAGGCAGGUCAUGAACUGUAACCAUUUGGAAAACGAUGAAGUUGAACUAUAGAAAUAGCUGCCAAACAUCCUUUACAAGAUAUUGGCACCAGAAGGGUAAUUUUGCAAGAGACUUGAUGGAUGUGAGCACAUGACGGAGAUGCUGCACAAGCUGCUGAGUUCUUCCAGAAGUUUCUCUUUCACCAUAUGAAGCACAAGCUAGAUAAUCAGGAUAUGUUUGUCAACAGUUAACCCUGAGUACAUCGUCACUGUCACAGAGGAAGUAAGGAGCAGGAGUGGUGUUGCUCCAGGAUCUAUCAGAACAAGCUUUGGAAAGGAAGCAACAGAACAGAAAUGGACUGGCUGCAGUAUUUAGUAGAGUUAAAUUCAUGAAGAGUAAAUAAUUUAAGAUGCAAACUUGGCUGAGAGUGGAGCAGAAACAUUGCUACAAUUGCUGCCAUCUGCUUUAUAUUACAUCAGGAUAAGAUUAAUGAAGGGGAGACCAUCAGGUCACACAAUGGCGACACAGCAAUCAAGAUGCAUUGCCUCCUGCUGCCAAAAGCAUUCAACCAGACUAAAUAGAGUAAUCUACAAAGAGCAAUGUCAUCUCGUACUUUUAUUGAUUUAAACAAAAAUGAGCCAGUCAUCCACUAUCUGCACUGCUGUGAUAUUUUACAUGCUCCUGUCUCCGG
This is a long non-coding RNA of Hypanus sabinus (Atlantic stingray), 811 nucleotides long. RefSeq lists it as uncharacterized. The record is from RefSeq and is a predicted model, not a curated record. The transcript has 3 exons. NCBI's taxonomy places the organism in Eukaryota, Metazoa, Chordata, Chondrichthyes, Myliobatiformes, Dasyatidae.